AGGGGCCGGCGGCUUCGGCAGCCUUGGGGAGGGGAGGCGAGGCGGCGUGCUCCGGCCAUUUUCAGCUCGGGUGGAGUUAAGUUUAGAAUCUGUAACCUGGAGGGG
Unclassified non-coding RNA from Nomascus leucogenys (northern white-cheeked gibbon), 105 nucleotides. Lineage: Eukaryota; Metazoa; Chordata; Mammalia; Primates; Hylobatidae. The record is from Ensembl.